This is a long non-coding RNA of Aplysia californica (California sea hare), 324 nucleotides long. RefSeq lists it as uncharacterized. The transcript is spliced from 2 exons. The record is from RefSeq and is a predicted model, not a curated record. Lineage: Eukaryota; Metazoa; Mollusca; Gastropoda; Aplysiida; Aplysiidae.
UCAGAUAAAACUUUGUAAUUCCGAAGUAGCGAAAUAGUCGGAGAUUCUGUGCCUUCUCUCAAUUCACGGAUUACGUUAUAUACACUUCGUCUCCCUUACCACGUCUGUGGAUUUCUGUGUCUGCUAGAUGUCUAACUGUACUGCCCAGGUCUAGCACACCCUCCCCACCCCACCCAACCCUGUCUCACCUAAUUUGUUAUUGCAUUAGUUUUAGGCUUGUUGCGCAGAUUUGUACCUAAACCUAGAUUUGCUGCAACAACAAUUUGCCUGACUCUAGCAAUAAGCUAGAUACGACAUGUAUGGAUGGUUACAGGACGUCGCUGG